RNAcentral lists this ribosomal RNA (253 nucleotides) under uncultured bacterium. RNAcentral describes it as "partial 16S ribosomal RNA". It matches the Rfam family "Bacterial small subunit ribosomal RNA", at positions 524 to 776 of the family's 1533-position model. The record is from RNAcentral.
UACGUAGGUGGCAAGCGUUAUCCGGAAUUAUUGGGCGUAAAGAGCGCGCAGGUGGUUGAUUAAGUCUGAUGUGAAAGCCCACGGCUUAACCGUGGAGGGUCAUUGGAAACUGGUCGACUUGAGUGCAGAAGAGGGAAGUGGAAUUCCAUGUGUAGCGGUGAAAUGCGUAGAGAUAUGGAGGAACACCAGUGGCGAAGGCGACUUUCUGGUCUGUAACUGACACUGAGGCGCGAAAGCGUGGGGAGCAAACAGG